CUUCUCAGAAAGAGCAGUCAGGCUUUGGAACAGGUUGCCCAGGGAAGUGGUGGAGUCACCAUCCCUGGGGUGGUUUAAGGAAAGGUUGGAUGUGAUGCUUAAGGACAUGGUUUAGUGGGUGUGGUGUAAUUGCCUGAAGUAACUAGGAAAAUAAAACUAACAUUCACACUUUUUAAGGAAAAGGUACAGCUUUGAAGAGGCUUUCAGGGUAGGGCAUAACUGCAUUACCUGAGCGUUCCCUAGGCUCCCAACCUUAGAUGCUAUCGCGCUGGGGAAACUUGGUGUGCUAGCUCCAAGGAACACCACGGAGCGUGGAGCGGAGUGGAGACACCAUGGCUAGGCUCUGUAAUCAGGUGGGGACUCUAUUGUUCUUGUGCACAAAGCUGCACUUUUUGCCACCCUAAGCCAAAGACCUGUCAUGUUUUGACAAAUGCUGUACCCUAGUGUACUUUUUGCUCAUUGUAAUAUCAUUAUAAUACCAAAACACACCUCCAUCCCAAAAGCUACCUGCCUCCAAGGUGCGACCACCCCUCACUGAGCAUGUGCCCUGAAUUUUUCGGAGCCUAUUACUUUAAACGGAGACGGGAAAACUUUACAGCAAUCAUAACUAAGAUAUGCUUGACUAGAGCCACUCAAGCUCCACCUAAAAGAUAGAAAAUAAUAUAAAUUGGCCCAAGAGAGAGGGGAUGUUGGGGAAGAUACCACCGUCAGGGGAGAUACCAUCCCGAGGACAUACAACAUCCUUAGGACCUCCUGACUCCUGGGAUCAGUCGACGGGCUGAGCCUCUCUUCCCCACGCAUCGGGAUGCCUUUGGGCCAGAAUGAAGACUUGAUAUCUUGUUUGGAUGAAAGAAACUCAAUUUUCAGUUCUGCUUAUGCCCCGAACCCACAACCUAAAAAGGAUGCAUUCUUGGAUGUGUGAACAGUGAUGACAAUGUCCCCUUCUCUCUCUACUGGGUGUCACUUGGAAGCAUCUGUCAAAAUACCUCCAAAAGAACAUCAUCAAGUCAACACAAGCUACCAACAUGAGAAAAUCAGUCAUACUAUUGAAUGACAUCACGAGCCCCC
Molecule: long non-coding RNA, 1068 nt
Filed under: Anas platyrhynchos platyrhynchos (common mallard)
Lineage: Eukaryota; Metazoa; Chordata; Aves; Anseriformes; Anatidae
Description: lncRNA (ENSAPLG00000020384.1)
Source: RNAcentral